This 552-nucleotide long non-coding RNA is filed under the name Equus asinus (donkey). RNAcentral describes it as "lncRNA (ENSEASG00005034569.1)". The record is from RNAcentral. Lineage: Eukaryota; Metazoa; Chordata; Mammalia; Perissodactyla; Equidae.
UCACCAACUCCGAGGACAGUUGAAGCUGGGAGGUGCCACUGGCCACCUUUGUCACCACUGAGAGAAGCAUGCCUGGUGUUGAAGCCAACACAGAGUUGAAGAAACGGAUGCCCAAAGAAAGGAAUGGGUUGGCCUGUGGCACCCAGCCAGCAACUGACAGAGCCAGGAUUUGAAACAGAUUCACCCCGAAGGACAGAACCCAGAGUCUGCAUGUUCAGAAAGAUGACACAGCCAAGUUCCCCAAUAUCCACGACAGCCCUCUCUACGGUUCCUAAGGCUCAUUAAGAUGGAAGAGCAAGACUCCAGCUUUUGGACAGAUUCCCAACAAGAAAAUUUAGAGGAGAGGUGAAGCUUCUCAGAGGGUGCAACGUCUCUGUUUCCAUGAGCACCAGAUGGAGGGGCUGGAGCUGGCUUCCCUCGAGGUGAUGCUGAGGAAAUGACACAGGGAGUUCACUCAUGAAAAGUCCCGGGGACAUCAACUGAGGAAAAAGCCACAUGUUUCUCAAUACAUUCCCGUUAGUACAGAGGGUGGCAGAUCCAGCCACUCCUCUC